CUCUACUAAAAAAUACAAAAAAAAAAAUUAGCUGGGCGUGGUGGCAGGCGCCUGUGGUCCCAGCUACUCAGGAGGCUGAGGCAGGAGAAUGGCCUGAACCCGAGAGGCGGAGUUUGCAGUGAGCUGAGAUCACGCCACUGCACUCCAGCCUGGGCGAAAGAGUGAAACUCCGUCUCAAAAAAUAAAAAGAAAAGAAAAGAAAAGAAAAGAAAAUUAGGCCGGUGUGGUGGCACACACCUGUAGUCCCAGCUGCUCGGGAGGCUGAGGCAAGAGAAUCGCUUGAACCCGGGAGGCGAGGGUUGCAGUGAGCCGAGAUCGCGCCACUGCAAGACUCCGUCUCAGAAAAACAAAGUCGCACAGGAGAGUCACGUCCACCCCCUGGGCCACCGGACAGUCGCCACAGACCAGGCAGCUGAAUCCCCGCUCUACAGACAACCCCAUCAAGGCUGGGGCAGUGAGACGCUCUGAAGGCCACAGGCCCCCAGGAUCCCACCCCGUCCGUCUCUCCCUCCCUGCUGUCCCUCUGUGAGCCACACCCUGCGGCUGUCAGCGGCAGUGAUGGGGGCUGCAGGGGCUGGGGACAGAGGGGGAUGAGUUUCCAGCCAGGCGGCCUGGGAGGGUAGCUUUAAUCCCCACCUCGGUUUUGUCUUAGAAGCAGUUGCAUGGCUGUGCUCCAGGCCGUCCAGGGUUCAGGCUGAGCCACCGUCUAGGUCUAGACGUCAGUGUCCAUCAGGACCUGGCGUGCCCUGCAAGCAGACAUGUGCUCCUUCGACCUCCGUCAACCCUGGAGAUGAAGCAGGGAAGGGGCCCUGGCUGGAGGCUUGGACAUCCAUCCGGAGGGGCGGAGUGGCCUCGAGGCGGUGUGUGAGUCCCCGGGGAAGAUGCAGGGGACGCUGGGUGGCCGGUGGCACGAGUGAGGCUCGGGGUCCCGCAGCCCCCCGUGGUGUGGGUGCCUGAGUUGGGGGGUCCUCGAGGAGGACAAGGGAGGGAACUGAAGGGGGCCAGGACACCCGGUAGCUUGGCUGCCGGGGGCUCUGUGAUAUGCUAAGUCCCUCCUGCUCACCACUAAACCCAAGAGGAAAAGGAAUUCCUGGCAGAGUCCAAUUUAAAGUCAACAAACAAACAAUGUGGGAAGGAGAGAAGGAAUCCCAGGAAUGUGGGCGAGGUCCUCCUCCCGCCGGGGCCACCCUGGACCCGGCGAGAAAUCGAAGGUCCCCCAAGGACCCACGUCCAGGAGCCAACAGCCUCUCUGUGCAAACCAGACAACCCUGCAGGAACUGUGCUUGAAGAAACCGUGGAAACUGCCCCCAACCCUCCCGUCUCUAUUUCUUUCUCUGUUUUAUUAUCUCAUUCUUGGCUGUGAGGUAAACAGGAGAAAAUGAGAAGGUGGUUCUGGAGGACCCGACCGAAUUUGCUUUCGUGACAGGGUCAAGCGCCCUUUCCUCGCCGGCCGCAGCCCUCACCAAAGGGGAUUUGGGGGCCUCCGGACAGGGGUCCUGAAGGUUUUGAAUUGUUCAAUCUCUGGGGGUACAGGAACCCCUGCAGGAGGUUUCAAAGGCAAGAGUUUCGCAGAGAGAAAAAAACCAUGAACUUUGCAGGUUGGUGGCGGAAUCUGGUGAUUUAAGAAAACGUGUUUAAGCCUCGGCCGGGCCGCGCCUGGGCUGUCUGCGGUGCUCUUCCGGAAUUCUCUACAAUAUCUGGAAGUGACCAAGAAAAUUCCAGAACCCGGAGGCUGCGCCGUGGAGAUAAACAUGGGCACCUGGGAAGGAACUGCUGGACCAGCAGAAUGAGGGGCCAACGCCAGGGGCAGCACUGCCCGGCCACAGAGGACUGUGGCCCCACAGAUGACACCCUCAGCUACCAGCUCCUGCAUCUGGAAGAUGACCAGGAGGAGGAAGGACGGUCUGCAAGUGUUCAAAGUGAUGUUUCCAGGCCGGGCGCGCUUGUAAUACCAGCAUUUGGGAGGCUGAGGCAGGCGGAUCACCUGAGGUCGGGAGUUCGAGACCAGCCUGACCAACGUGGAGAAACCCCGUCUCUACUAAAAAUACAAAAUUAGCCAGGCGUGGUGGCGCAGCUACUCGGGAGGCUGAGGCAGGAGAAUCGCUUGAACCCGGGAGGCGGAGGUUGCGGUGAGCUGAGAUUGUGCCAUUGCACUCCAGCCUGGGCAACAAGAGUGAAACUCCGUCUGAAAAAAAAAAAACCUCUAUAACAUCCAAAAUACUAACCACUUGUUACCUCUAGAUUGUUUGGGGAUGUUAGAUUUCUCCUUUGUUGCCAGCUCUUUUAUUUUUAUUUAUUUAUUUAUUAUUAUUAUUAUUAUUAUUAUUAUUAUUAUUAUUUUGAGAUGGAGUCUUGUUCUGUUGCCCAGGAUGGAGUGCAGUGGUGUGAUCUCGGCUCACUGCAACCUCCGCCUCCUGGGUUUGAGCAAUUCUCCUGCCUCAGCCUCCCGAGUAGCUGGGACUACACGCGUGUGCCACCACGCCAGGCUAAUUUUUGUAUUUUUAGUAGAGACGGGGUUUUGCCAUGUUGGCCAGGAUGGUCAGGAACUCCCCAACUCUUAUUUUUAAAUGUUGGGCCACACAAGUCUGGGAAAUGUUAGUUUUCAAACACAUCAGGGAAUAAAUGGAUACAAAAGUCUUGAGGACCACUUAAGAAAUGAACAAUAGCAGAUGUGUAACAGUUAUACUACGCUGCUACCUUGUAAAACAUUUUAGAAACAUCUGUUUCCAGCCGGGCCUGGUGGCUCACGCCUGUGAUACCAGCACUUUGGGAGGCUGAGGUGGGCAGAUCAUGAGGUCAGGAGUUCGAGACCAGCCUGGCCAACCUAGUGAACCCUCAUCUCUACUAAAACUACAAAAAAUUAGCCAGGUGUGGUGGCGGGCGCCUGUAAUCCCAGCUACUUGGGAGGCUGAGGCAGGAGAAUCGCUUGAACCUGGGAGGCGGAGGUUGCAGUGAGCCAAGAUUGCACCACUGCUCUCCAGCCUGGCAACAAAGGAAGACUCCAUCUCAAAAAAAAAAAAGAAUAAAAAGAAUACAAAAAGAAAAAAAAAACAUCUGUAUCAUCCUUGUAGAUUCUGGGGUUUGGAAACAGGCUUUGAAAAAAGUCCUGAAACAGGCCGGGCGCCGUGGCUCACACCUGUAAUCCCAGCACUUCUGGAGGCCGAGGCGGGCGGAUCAUGAGGUCAGGAGAUCGAGACCAUCCUG
This 3204-nucleotide long non-coding RNA is filed under the name Homo sapiens (human). RNAcentral's name for it is "non-protein coding LINC01836:7". The record is from RNAcentral. Lineage: Eukaryota; Metazoa; Chordata; Mammalia; Primates; Hominidae.